Oreochromis aureus is the source of this 595-nucleotide long non-coding RNA. RefSeq lists it as uncharacterized. The transcript is spliced from 3 exons. The record is from RefSeq and is a predicted model, not a curated record. NCBI's taxonomy places the organism in Eukaryota, Metazoa, Chordata, Actinopteri, Cichliformes, Cichlidae.
ACUUGUAUCUUUAUUCAGUGUCCGAUAAAGACAGGUUGUCAGGGGAGGUCGGUGUGAGAGCCCUGUGCUACAGGUCAAUGAGGAAGAGUGAGGCACCACACAGACUAAGUAUUAAGCUUCUGGAUUCAUCGCCGGUGGUACUGACACAUAGCCAGUGCUCCUGUGUGGCAGGCGCUGUUAUGUGCAAUCACACAGUGGCAUUGCUCUUCCAAACAGCACACUACUCACAACUCAGAGUGCCGGUUGUCCCCCUGUGCAUAGCUGCACAGAAUCUGAACAGCAAUGGCACAAGCCACGGACAGUGGGUGUGAAGCCAGGACCCAUCAACUCCAUGAUCUUCACUAAGCCGGUACCAAAUAGGAUGGCCCAGACUGGAGUACGGUAAUUAGAUUUGUAAAAUUUGGUUUCCUGUGUUACAAAUGCAUGUUGCUAUUUGUUCAUACAUACAUGUGUCAGAAUAGGUAUUAAUUUACAUACAACAUUACACUUUCUGAAGACGGCUAACUCAGUCAUGUACAUAUACAUCCCAGUCUCUAACUUAUGCACCACUGUUUUACACCUUUUAGUUUUUAGUUUAGUUGUUGUUCAGUAUAAU